RNAcentral lists this ribosomal RNA (467 nucleotides) under uncultured bacterium. RNAcentral describes it as "partial 16S ribosomal RNA". It matches the Rfam family "Bacterial small subunit ribosomal RNA", at positions 28 to 506 of the family's 1533-position model. The record is from RNAcentral.
GACGAACGCUGGCGGCGUGCUUAACACAUGCAAGUCGAACGGAAAGGCCCUGCUUUUGUGGGGUGCUCGAGUGGCGAACGGGUGAGUAACACGUGAGUAACCUGCCCUUGACUUUGGGAUAACUUCAGGAAACUGGGGCUAAUACCGGAUAGGAGCUCCUGCUGCAUGGUGGGGGUUGGAAAGUUUCGGCGGUUGGGGAUGGACUCGCGGCUUAUCAGCUUGUUGGUGGGGUAGUGGCUUACCAAGGCUUUGACGGGUAGCCGGCCUGAGAGGGUGACCGGCCACAUUGGGACUGAGAUACGGCCCAGACUCCUACGGGAGGCAGCAGUGGGGAAUAUUGCACAAUGGGCGGAAGCCUGAUGCAGCAACGCCGCGUGCGGGAGGACGGCCUUCGGGUUGUAAAUCGCUUUCGCCUGUGACGAAGCGUGAGUGACGGGAAUGGGGAAAGAAGCACCGGCUAACUACGG